UAUACACGGUGUACAUGAUAUUCAUCAAAGGUAAGGAUUCAAUUGUUCAAAAGUCUACCUAGUUGUGCAAAGGUAUAAGAGGAGUCGACAGGAAGAAUCAAUGCAUGCAGAUCGAACGAGAAGCCUGAUGAUUAACCCAUGAACUGUCAGGCUUUGGAGCUGAACAUCAAAUAGAAGUGUUCAGCAUAUCUAUAAAAUA
Molecule: long non-coding RNA, 199 nt
Filed under: Eucalyptus grandis
Lineage: Eukaryota; Viridiplantae; Streptophyta; Magnoliopsida; Myrtales; Myrtaceae
Description: long non-coding RNA (EGRA_LNC002883)
Source: RNAcentral